CGCGAAUUCGCCCUUCGGGGUGCAGCAGGCGCGAAAACUUUGCAAUAAGCGAAAGCUUGACAGGGCUAUCCCGAGUGCCAUCCGCUGAGGAAGGCUUUUACCCAGUCUAGAACGCUGGGGGAAUAAGGAGAGGGCAAGUCUGGUGUCAGCCGCCGCGGUAAUACCAGCUCUCCGAGUGGUGUGGAUGUUUAUUGGGCCUAAAGCAUCCGUAGCUGGCUAGGUCAGUCCCUUGUUAAAUCCACCGAAUUAAUCGUUGGAUUGCGGGGGAUACUGCUUGGCUAGGGGACGAGAGAGGCAGACGGUAUUUUCGGGGUAGGGGUGAAAUCCUAUAAUCCCGGGAAGACCACCAGUGGCGAAGGCUGUCUGCUAGAACGCGCCCGACGGUGAGGGAUGAAAGCUGGGGGAGCGAACCGGAUUAGAUACCCGGGUAGUCCCAGCUGUAAACGAUGCAGACUAGGUGUUUGGACGGCCACGUGCCGUUCUAGUGCCGCAGGGAAGCUGUUAAGUCUGCCGCCUGGGGAGUACGAUCGCAAGAUUGAAACUUAAAGGAAUUGGCGGGGGAGCAC
This 566-nucleotide ribosomal RNA is filed under the name uncultured archaeon. Its description in RNAcentral is "bacterial SSU rRNA". It matches the Rfam family "Archaeal small subunit ribosomal RNA", at positions 311 to 879 of the family's 1478-position model. The record is from RNAcentral.